RNAcentral lists this ribosomal RNA (504 nucleotides) under uncultured bacterium. Its description in RNAcentral is "partial 16S ribosomal RNA". It matches the Rfam family "Bacterial small subunit ribosomal RNA", at positions 30 to 523 of the family's 1533-position model. The record is from RNAcentral.
AUUGAACGCUGGCGGCAGGCCUAACACAUGCAAGUCGAACGGUAGCACAGAGAGCUUGCUCUCGGGUGACGAGUGGCGGACGGGUGAGUAACGUCUGGGAAACUGCCCGAUGGAGGGGGAUAACUACUGGAAACGGUAGCUAAUACCGCAUAACGUCGCAAGACCAAAGUGGGGGACCUUCGGGCCUCACACCAUCGGAUGUGCCCAGAUGGGAUUAGCUAGUAGGUGGGGUAAUGGCUCACCUAGGCGACGAUCCCUAGCUGGUCUGAGAGGAUGACCAGCCACACUGGAACUGAGACACGGUCCAGACUCCUACGGGAGGCAGCAGUGGGGAAUAUUGCACAAUGGGCGCAAGCCUGAUGCAGCCAUGCCGCGUGUAUGAAGAAGGCCUUCGGGUUGUAAAGUACUUUCAGCGGGGAGGAAGGCGGUGAAGUUAAUAGCUUCACCGAUUGACGUUACCCGCAGAAGAAGCACCGGCUAACUCCGUGCCAGCCGCCGCGGUAA